AAAAAUUAAAAAAAAAAUCAGUGAAUUUUUCAAAAUUGCGCAUCCAUUAGGGAUCAAGAUUCAAGGGCACAACUAUUAACUCUUGAUCAAUAUUUUUCUUUAGCAAUAAUAAUAGAAAGCUUAUGUCACACGUGCCACCGACCUUGCCAAAGUGUGAGUUCUGCAGUUCCUUUCGAGAUUGCUGACACCCCUGCUUACGUCUCUGCUAUUUGAAUUUUGCAUCAUAAAGAAAUUGAAGGUUCUCCGUUGAAUUUGGAUCAAUGACCACCAUCUAGCUUAAGCUCCUCGUUCUCUCUUCAGUCUUCACCAUAUCACCUCUUGAUCGAUCUUACUCUUUUACUGCAUCCAUCCAUGGACUCAAACUCUCCUCCAGUUGAAAUCUUCUUCUUCCCAUUUGUAGGCGGAGGCCACCAGAUCCCCAUGAUAGACAUGGCUAGAAUCUUUGCCUCCCAUGGUGUCAGAGCAACCAUCAUAGCCACCCCAAAGCAUGCUCUUUCCUUCCAAAAAUCUAUUGUCCGUGACCAGAACUCCAGUCUUCCAAUCUCUAUUCACAUCCUCAAGUUACCAGAUGGUGUUGAUAUAGCUGAUACAGACAUGUCUGCAGCUCCCUUCACUGACACUUCUAUACUCCAAGAACCUCUCCUGAAUCUUUUGCUUGAACGCAAACCAGACUGUAUUAUUCAUGAUGUGUUUCACCGGUGGUCCGCUGAAGCCAUUGAUAGAAUUGGUAUUCUAAGAAUUACUUUCAGUGGAAAUGGAUGCUUCCCUCGCUGUGUCCAAGAAAAUAUGGCACGUUAUAAGCCCCAUGAGAAGGUAGGUUCUGAUCUGGAGCCUUUUGUUGUCCCAGGUCUUCCUGAUAGGAUUGAAUUGACUAGAUCUCAACUACCAUUCUUUGCCAGACAGGGUGGGCUUCCCAGAAGGAUGACAAAACCUGAUGAGAACAGCUUUGGAGUUGCAGUUAAUAGUUUCUAUGAAUUGGAGCCAGCUUAUGUGGAAUACUUCCAAAAGGAAUUGGGGAACAAGGCAUGGCUAGUAGGACCAGUAUCAUUGUGUAACAGAAACGUGGAAGAUAAAGCUGAAAGAGGGCAAAAGACCGCUAUUGAUGAGCAAAGCAUACUGAAUUGGCUUAACAGUAAAGAACCCAAUUCGGUUCUUUACAUUAGUUUUGGGAGCUUAGCUCGUUUAGCUCCUGAACAACUCCUUGAGAUUGCCCAUGGUCUUGAAGCUUCCAAUCACCCAUUCAUUUGGGUGAUAGGAAAAAUCUUCCAAUCCACUGAGAAAGAACAAGGAAGCCAAAAAAAUUGGCUUCCCAAUGGAUUUGAAGAUAGAAUUAAAGAAUCCCAGAAGGGAUUGAUCAUAAAAGGUUGGGCACCGCAGUUGUUAAUAUUAGAGCACAUCGCUGUAGGAGGAUUUAUGACUCAUUGUGGAUGGAACUCGACUUUGGAAGGUGUGAGUGCUGGGGUACCAAUGAUAACAUGGCCAAUUACAGCAGAGCAAUUUACCAAUGAGAAGUUGAUCACGGAUGUGUUGAAGAUUGGAGUGAAGGUGGGGAGCAUGGAGUGGUUGUCAUGGAGCAGUGAGCCAUCGGCAGCGGUGAAGAGAGACAACGUGGAGACAGCAGUGAAAAGGCUAAUGGGUGGUGAUGAAGAGGCAGCAGAGAUGAGAAGCAGAGCUAAAGAUCUCGGAGAGAAAGCCAAGAGAGUUGUUGAAGAAGGAGGAUCAUCUUAUAAUGAUGCAAAUGCUUUGAUUCAGGAACUUCAAUCUCGCCGGAGAAAUUGAAACCUUCGCCGGAUAUGGCUGAGAUGGAGCAUAGUUUAAUAGGCUACUGUGAUUUUUCCCCCCAGUGUCUUGUACCACUUGUUAAGUUACGAACAAGAAUCAUAGUAAAUUUACACUUCAGCCCUUAGUGGGAUAGUGAAUUAGCGUGUAUGAUCUUUCUUGUAAGCGAUCUUGACACAUGAACCAAGUUCACUAUGGGAAUAUAGACUAAUAAU
This 1994-nucleotide unclassified non-coding RNA is filed under the name Hevea brasiliensis (rubber tree). The record is from RNAcentral. Lineage: Eukaryota; Viridiplantae; Streptophyta; Magnoliopsida; Malpighiales; Euphorbiaceae.